GAUGAACGCUGGCGGCGUGCCUAAUACAUGCAAGUCGAGCGAACAGACGAGGAGCUUGCUCCUCUGACGUUAGCGGCGGACGGGUGAGUAACACGUGGAUAACCUACCUAUAAGACUGGGAUAACUUCGGGAAACCGGAGCUAAUACCGGAUAAUAUAUUGAACCGCAUGGGUCAAUAGUGAAAGACGGUUUUGCUGUCACUUAUAGAUGGAUCCGCGCCGCAUUAGCUAGUUGGUAAGGUAACGGCUUACCAAGGCAACGAUGCGUAGCCGACCUGAGAGGGUGAUCGGCCACACUGGAACUGAGACACGGCCGAGACUCCUGCGGGAGGCAGCAGUAGGGAAUCUUACGCAAUGGGCGAAAGCCUGACGGAGCAACGCCGCGUGAGUGAUGAAGGUCCUCGGAUCGUAAAACUCUGUUAUUAGGGAAGAACAAAUGUGUAAGUAACUAUGCACGUAUUGACGGUACCUAAUCAGAAAGCCACGGCUAACUACGUG
RNAcentral lists this ribosomal RNA (497 nucleotides) under uncultured bacterium. RNAcentral's name for it is "partial 16S ribosomal RNA". It matches the Rfam family "Bacterial small subunit ribosomal RNA", at positions 28 to 507 of the family's 1533-position model. The record is from RNAcentral.